ACUUUUAUACCCGGUACUCAGACAGGUACCUGUACCAUAUUGUUUUUUUUCGAAUUUUACAUUUUUACAAAAAUUGUACAAAAUUUCGUGCUGGCGUGAGAAGUUAUGUAGAUGUAGAUGACAAACAGGUGUAGAAAAAAUGUAAAAUGUAAAAUUCGAAAAAAAAACAAUAUGGUACAGGUACACUGACUGAGUACCGGGUAUAAAAGU
RNAcentral lists this microRNA precursor (210 nucleotides) under Drosophila guanche. Lineage: Eukaryota; Metazoa; Arthropoda; Insecta; Diptera; Drosophilidae. The record is from RNAcentral.